UACGUAGGUGGCAAGCGUUAUCCGGAAUCAUUGGGCGUAAAGGGUGCGUAGGCGGUCGAUUAAGUCUGUAGUGAAAUCGUGGAGCUCAACUCCAUCAAGCUACGGAAACUGGACGACUAGAGUGCGGUAGAGGCUAGUGGAAUUCCAUGUGUAGCGGUAAAAUGCGUAGAUAUAUGGAGGAACACCGGUGGCGAAGGCGGCUAGCUGGGCCGUAACUGACGCUGAGGCACGAAAGCGUGGGGAGC
This 245-nucleotide ribosomal RNA is filed under the name uncultured Erysipelotrichaceae bacterium. RNAcentral describes it as "partial 16S ribosomal RNA". It matches the Rfam family "Bacterial small subunit ribosomal RNA", at positions 524 to 769 of the family's 1533-position model. Lineage: Bacteria; Bacillati; Bacillota; Erysipelotrichia; Erysipelotrichales; Erysipelotrichaceae. The record is from RNAcentral.